UCCAUUUCGAGGACAUAGAAAUCCGCUGGGAAGACUAAAUGAUCAACCUGCACUAAAACGUCUUCCAAAACUCCAUUUGGAUAAGCGUUAGAUCUAUCGGCCAAUUGUAUGAUUACACCAUCAUGUUUAAGUGCUCCUAGAUUCAUAGAUGCAUAAACAGAAUAUGGCAUAACAUUAAUAGAUGCUCCUAAAUCUAGCAUGGCAGAUUUGAAACGGGUAUUACCAAUGACACAUGGAAUUGUAAAACUUCCCGGGUCUUUGCAUUUGGGGGGUAGUUUAUGUUGCAAGAUGGCGGAGACAUUCUCACUUACAUGUACCAGCUCUUUCUCCCGGACACGUUUCUUUGUUGUACAAAGCUUCUUUAAACACUUGGCAUACUUCGGG
RNAcentral lists this long non-coding RNA (384 nucleotides) under Malus domestica (apple). RNAcentral's name for it is "long non-coding RNA (MDOM_LNC015662)". Lineage: Eukaryota; Viridiplantae; Streptophyta; Magnoliopsida; Rosales; Rosaceae. The record is from RNAcentral.